This 305-nucleotide ribosomal RNA is filed under the name uncultured bacterium. RNAcentral's name for it is "bacterial SSU rRNA". It matches the Rfam family "Bacterial small subunit ribosomal RNA", at positions 333 to 631 of the family's 1533-position model. The record is from RNAcentral.
UCCGCCCUACGGGGGCAGCAGUGGGGAAUUUUGGACAAUGGGCGCAAGCCUGAUCCAGCUAUUCCGCGUGUGGGAUGAAGGCCCUCGGGUUGUAAACCACUUUUGUAGAGAACGAAAAGACACCUUCGAAUAAAGGGUGUUGCUGACGGUACUCUAAGAAUAAGCACCGGCUAACUACGUGCCAGCAGCCGCGGUAAUACGUAGGUGACAAGCGUUGUCCGGAUUUACUGGGUGUAAAGGGCGCGUAGGCGGAUGUGCAAGUCAGUCGUGAAAUACCGGGGCUCAACCCCGGGGCUGCGAUUGAA